CCUACGGGAGGCAGCAGUGGGGAAUAUUGCACAAUGGGGGAAACCCUGAUGCAGCGACGCCGCGUGAGUGAAGAAGUACUUCGGUACGUAAAGCUCUAUCAGCAGGGACGAAGAUGACGGUACCUGACUAAGAAGCCCCGGCUAACUACGUGCCAGCAGCCGCGGUAAUA
This 170-nucleotide ribosomal RNA is filed under the name uncultured bacterium. RNAcentral's name for it is "partial 16S ribosomal RNA". It matches the Rfam family "Bacterial small subunit ribosomal RNA", at positions 338 to 525 of the family's 1533-position model. The record is from RNAcentral.